Molecule: ribosomal RNA, 425 nt
Filed under: uncultured bacterium
Lineage: Bacteria
Description: bacterial SSU rRNA
Rfam family: Bacterial small subunit ribosomal RNA
Source: RNAcentral
GGGGAAUAUUGGACAAUGGGCGCAAGCCUGAUCCAGCCAUACCGCGUGGGUGAAGAAGGCCCUCGGGUUGUAAAGCCCUUUUGUUGGGAAAGAAAUCCUGUCGAUUAAUACUCGGUGGGGAUGACGGUACCCAAAGAAUAAGCACCGGCUAACUUCGUGCCAGCAGCCGCGGUAAUACGAAGGGUGCAAGCGUUACUCGGAAUUACUGGGCGUAAAGCGUGCGUAGGUGGUGGUUUAAGUCUGCUGUGAAAGCCCUGGGCUCAACCUGGGAAUUGCAGUGGAUACUGGAUCACUAGAGUGUGGUAGAGGGAUGCGGAAUUUCUGGUGUAGCAGUGAAAUGCGUAGAGAUCAGAAGGAACAUCCGUGGCGAAGGCGGCAUCCUGGGCCAACACUGACACUGAGGCACGAAAGCGUGGGGAGCAAAC